GUUUGUGGAUGAUGAUAAAAAAACACGUCACAAUUAUCCCUGUCUGAUAUAUUUGUGCUGACCUUUUGUGAUCUGACACACAC
Small nucleolar RNA from Camellia sinensis, 83 nucleotides. RefSeq annotates it as small nucleolar RNA R38. The record is from RefSeq and is a predicted model, not a curated record. NCBI's taxonomy places the organism in Eukaryota, Viridiplantae, Streptophyta, Magnoliopsida, Ericales, Theaceae.